This 431-nucleotide ribosomal RNA is filed under the name uncultured bacterium. RNAcentral describes it as "partial 16S ribosomal RNA". It matches the Rfam family "Bacterial small subunit ribosomal RNA", at positions 29 to 507 of the family's 1533-position model. The record is from RNAcentral.
AACGAACGCUGGCGGCAGGCUUAACACAUGCAAGUCGAACGCCCCGCAAGGGGAGUGGCAGACGGGUGCGUAACGCGUGGGCACAUACCCUUUCCUGCGGAAUAGCUCCGGGAAACUGGAAUUAAUACCGCAUACGCCCUACGGGGGAAAGAUUUAUCGGGGAAGGAUUGGCCCGCGUUGGAUUAGCUAGUUGGUGGGGUAAAGGCCUACCAAGGCGACGAUCCAUAGCUGGUCUGAGAGGAUGAUCAGCCACAUUGGGACUGAGACACGGCCCAAACUCCUACGGGAGGCAGCAGUGGGGAAUAUUGGACAAUGGGCGCAAGCCUGAUCCAGCCAUGCCGCGUGAGUGAUGAAGGCCUUAGGGUUGUAAAGCUCUUUCACCGAUGAAGAUAAUGACGGUAGUCGGAGAAGAAGCCCCGGCUAACUUCGUG